RNAcentral lists this ribosomal RNA (460 nucleotides) under uncultured bacterium. RNAcentral's name for it is "partial 16S ribosomal RNA". It matches the Rfam family "Bacterial small subunit ribosomal RNA", at positions 338 to 795 of the family's 1533-position model. The record is from RNAcentral.
CCUACGUGAGGCAGCAGUGAGGAAUAUUGGUCAAUGGGCGAGAGCCUGAACCAGCCAAGUCGCGUGAGGGAAGACGGUCCUAUGGAUUGUAAACCUCUUUUGUCGGGGAGCAAAAAGGCCUCGUGAGGCCACAAGUGAGAGUACCCGAAGAACAAGCAUCGGCUAACUCCGUGCCAGCAGCCGCGGUAAUACGGAGGAUGCGAGCGUUAUCCGGAUUGAUUGGGUUUAAAGGGUGCGUAGGCGGACUGGAAAUUCAGCGGUAAAAUCGAGAGGCUCAACCUCUUUCCGCCGUUGAAACUGUCGGUCGUGAGUGGGCGAGAAGUAUGCGGAAUGCGGGGUGUAGCGGUGAAAGGCAGAGAUAUCACGCAGAACUCCGAUUGCGAAGGCAGCAUACCGGCGCCCGACUGACGCUGAGGCACGAAAGCGUGGGUAUCGAACAGGAUUAGAUACCCGGGUAGUC